RNAcentral lists this ribosomal RNA (608 nucleotides) under uncultured bacterium. RNAcentral describes it as "bacterial SSU rRNA". It matches the Rfam family "Bacterial small subunit ribosomal RNA", at positions 50 to 653 of the family's 1533-position model. The record is from RNAcentral.
UUAACAUGCAAGUCGGACGGCAGCACGGGGGCAACCCUGAUGGCGAGUGGCGAACGGGUGAGUAAUACAUCGGAACGUGUCCUGGAGUGGGGGAUAGCCCGGCGAAAGCCGGAUUAAUACCGCAUACGCUCUGUGGAGGAAAGCGGGGGAUCUUCGGACCUCGCGCUCAAGGGGCGGCCGAUGGCAGAUUAGCUAGUUGGUGGGGUAAAGGCCUACCAAGGCGACGAUCUGUAGCUGGUCUGAGAGGACGACCAGCCACACUGGGACUGAGACACGGCCCAGACUCCUACGGGAGGCAGCAGUGGGGAAUUUUGGACAAUGGGGGCAACCCUGAUCCAGCAAUGCCGCGUGUGUGAAGAAGGCCUUCGGGUUGUAAAGCACUUUUGUCCGGAAAGAAAACUUCGUUCCUAAUAUGGAUGGAGGAUGACGGUACCGGAAGAAUAAGCACCGGCUAACUACGUGCCAGCAGCCGCGGUAAUACGUAGGGUGCGAGCGUUAAUCGGAAUUACUGGGCGUAAAGCGUGCGCAGGCGGUUCGCUAAGACCGAUGUGAAAUCCCCGGGCUUAACCUGGGAACUGCAUUGGUGACUGGCGGGCUAAAGUAUGGCA